GAGACAUUAGUAAAAUAUAAAUACAUCACCUUGUCAGGGCGAAAUUAUGAGUUAAAUUCUCAUAUGUCUUA
Molecule: transfer RNA, 71 nt
Filed under: Horadandia atukorali (golden rasbora)
Lineage: Eukaryota; Metazoa; Chordata; Actinopteri; Cypriniformes; Danionidae
Description: tRNA-Asp
Rfam family: tRNA
About the family: Transfer RNA (tRNA) molecules are approximately 80 nucleotides in length. Their secondary structure includes four short double-helical elements and three loops (D, anti-codon, and T loops). Further hydrogen bonds mediate the characteristic L-shaped molecular structure. tRNAs have two regions of fundamental functional importance: the anti-codon, which is responsible for specific mRNA codon recognition, and the 3' end, to which the tRNAs corresponding amino acid is attached (by aminoacyl-tRNA synthetases). tRNAs cope with the degeneracy of the genetic code in two manners: having more than one tRNA (with a specific anti-codon) for a particular amino acid; and 'wobble' base-pairing, i.e. permitting non-standard base-pairing at the 3rd anti-codon position.
Source: RNAcentral